This 1424-nucleotide ribosomal RNA is filed under the name Boana heilprini (Los Bracitos treefrog). Its description in RNAcentral is "Hypsiboas heilprini (Los Bracitos treefrog) partial 16S ribosomal RNA". It matches the Rfam family "Bacterial large subunit ribosomal RNA", at positions 23 to 2597 of the family's 2925-position model. Lineage: Eukaryota; Metazoa; Chordata; Amphibia; Anura; Hylidae. The record is from RNAcentral.
GCUAAAAACCUAGCCCUCAUAAUUACAAAUGCCGUCCCCCACCUUGUUUGACCAAAUAAAUCAUUUAGAUAGUGUAGUAAAGGCGAUAAAAAAACUUAUUGGAGCGAUAAAAAUAGUACCGCAAGGGAAAGCUGAAAUAAAAAUGAAAAAAACAUUAAAGCACAAAAAAGUAGAGAUAUCACCUCGUACCUUUUGCAUCAUGGUUUAACUAGUCUUUAUCAAGCAAAACGAAUUUAAGUUUGACCCCCCGAAACUAAGCGAGCUACUUCAAGGCAGCUUUACGAGCCAACCCGUCUCUGUUGCAAAAGAGUGGGAAGACCUUCAAGUAGCGGUGACAGACCAAGCGAGCUUAGUGAUAGCUGGUUACUUAGUAAAAGAAUUUUAGUUCUACUUAAAGCUCUAUGAAGAAAAUUAACUUUAUCUCUUGCUUUAAAGUUAUUCAAAUAAGGUACAGCCUGUUUGAAUUAGGAUACAACCUAAACUAAUGGGUUAAUCAACAACAAAAUACUGAAGUAGGCCUAAAAGCAGCCACCUUUAAAACAGCGUCAAAGCUUAUUUAUUAUUUUUAACUAAUAACAAAAUUUUUCUUAAACCCUUUUUCACCACUGAGUAAUUCUAUAUUUGUAUAGAACAUAUAAUGUUAAAACUAGUAACAAGAAGUUAGCCCUUCUCUCAAAUGUAAGUGUAAGUCAGUCAGGAUAAACCACUGUCAAUUAACACAAAUGAUUCUAAAAUAAUAACUUUACAAGAAAACCUUAUUUUUCCCAAUGUUAAACUAACACAAGCACAUUUCAAGAAAGAUUAAAAGAAAAAGAAGGAACUCGGCAAACACUAACCCCGCCUGUUUACCAAAAACAUCGCCUCUUGAAACAUUAUAAGAGGUCCAGCCUGCCCAGUGACCUAGUUCAACGGCCGCGGUAUCCUAACCGUGCGAAGGUAGCGUAAUCACUUGUUCUUUAAAUGAGGACUAGUAUGAAUGGCACCACGAGGGUUAUACUGUCUCCUUUUCCUAAUCAGUGAAACUAAUCUCUCCGUGAAGAAGCGGGGAUUGAUAUAUAAGACGAGAAGACCCUAUGGAGCUUAAAACUAAUUUUCAUCUGCUUCAAAAUGAAUCUAAUUUCAGAAUUGCAAUAAAGAGUACAGCACUUUGAACAAUAGUUUUCGAUUGGGGUGAUCACGGAGUAAAAAAUAACCUCCAUGCCGAAAGGACUCUCCUGAGCUAAAAGCCACAACUUAAAGCACUAAAAAAUUGACGUAACUUGACCCAAUACUUUGAUCAACGAACCAAGUUACCCUAGGGAUAACAGCGCAAUCCACUUCAAGAGCUCCUAUCGACAAGUGGGUUUACGACCUCGAUGUUGGAUCAGGGUAUCCUAGUGGUGCAGCCGCUACUAAAGGUUCGUUUGUUCAACGAUUAAAACCCU